Long non-coding RNA from Beta vulgaris subsp. vulgaris (sugar beet), 2482 nucleotides. RefSeq lists it as uncharacterized. Lineage: Eukaryota; Viridiplantae; Streptophyta; Magnoliopsida; Caryophyllales; Amaranthaceae. The transcript is spliced from 2 exons. The record is from RefSeq and is a predicted model, not a curated record.
UUUCUUACUCCCUCGUGUCAUCUCCUCAAAGACACACCACAUCACUCUCAUCUUCUUCGUGUCUUCAAUUGAAUCAGCCACAAAUUAUUUCAAGUUCAAUCUGUUUCAAAGUCUUCAUUUUAUAAUUUGAGAUGAAUUAUUUUCUUGGGGAGGAAAAAUUGAUUCAUUCAAACAAGUUGUUUAGGAGUAAACCCCAAAAUCUCUUCAUUCUUCUCACCUCUGUUCUGUCCGUCGAAUUAAAGCAACAUGCACUCAUUUUUUAGUCUUUGUUCCUUCAUCAAAGCUGUAGAUCUCUUCGAGAUAUUGAAUUUAGGCUCAAAAAUUUCUUCAAUCGGAGUUCGGAGCUAAGAGUUAUGCUCCUGGAAGUUGUAGGUGCUGCUGCCACUGUUGCAGCGUUUUUCUCUCUCCUCUGCUUCCGCGGUGCUGCUGCCACUGUCGUGCUGCUGCUGCAUGUUGUUGUUGUUGUUGUUGUUGUUGUUGUUGUUGUUGUUGUUGUUGUUGUUGUUGUUGUUGUUGUUGUUGUCAUCGAUUCUUUUGUUUCGAUUUGAAGGAAACCCAAUUCAAUUUGAGCCAAAUUCUAUCAAGGUAUGAAAUUUUGUUGGUGAUUUAUCUUCAUUCCUCCAAUUUAUAGUAUACAGAUUUUAUCCUUCCAUUUUAUUUGUAACACUAAUUCAAAUUAUGAUGGGUUUUACUUCAUGAUUUCACAAAUGAAUUUAGCUCUAUAUAUAAUUGUUGUUUAGCAAAAAUCAGUUGAGAUAAGGAUUUGUUAAAUUUAAAGAUUGUAGUUUUACUCUUCAUUUAAUGAAUUGGAUGAAGGUUUAUAAUCUGUGAGUUAGUUUAUGUCAAUAAGUUAUAUUUUUGAAUAUAUUCUAUAUAAAUUAGAAGGGAAAAUCAGAGGAUUUAUUGAUUCAAUUAAGGAAGAUGAUAACCAUAGAUAUCAAGUUACUGUACAACUUAUGGAACUAUGUUGGAUUGAAAUAUAGAGUAUUUGUUGGUUCGUAAAGGAAAAUCUGAUUUAUAAAGAGUAAUAGUUAUAAUGAGCUCAUAUGUCUAUCAUUGCUACCAUAGAAGAGUUGAACUGCAAUGGACUUGGAUCUCCUAGGAUAAGUUAAGUUGUUUUGGAAGGAACAAUUGGAUUAUGGGUUUCUUGGUAGUUGAUGUGGAGACUCACUAUUAAUAAUUGUUAAUAUUGUUAUUGAGGUGGAAAUUAUGGAGCUUAAUGGUGUAGAUAAUCGAGGAAACUAAUUAUUGAGGAUCAAUUACGGUAUGGAGGCAAUGUUUGAAGAUCAGAUAAAGCGUUCAAUGCUAAUAAAUUUUUCAGGGAAGGUGGAAUCCAGCUUCGGUGUGGUUUAAGGAUCAUGGUAUAAUAAGAGAUGCUUUUCGGAUAAGCUAUGGUGGAGAUCAUAUAAUGUUAUAGGAAAGAAAUGUCAUGGUGUUUUAAUGUAUUAUAUUGGAGAUUUGAUUGAUCAAUUCAUGUAAUUGUAUUUCUAUUUUGUGAUAUUGUUAUGGUCCCAUAACCCACAGGUCCAGGAUCGCUUCAUAGGUUUGUUCCGCUACAAGAUAUAUUUUUAAAUUUUGAGGUUAUGGUGUUAAUUGAGUUUUAUUAAUGUUAAGUAUGAUUAGCUAACAACUCGGAAGUGCGGGCUGUUACAUCAAGUGUCUGUUUAUGCUAAGUUUUUGAAAGACAUGAUUACUAAAAAGAAAGACUUUGGUGGGGUAAAUCGAGUCGUUGUUACUAAAGAGUGUAGUGAUGUUUUACCAAAUAGAACCCCACCUAAGUUGAAGGAUGAUGAGUGAGAUUUAUCUCACUCUUAGGGUAUUUUUUAGGCUAUUUUACUUGAUUUAUUUUUCAUUUUAGUUUCCUUUUUCCUUAAUUUCACCUCUUUUUUCUGUAACUCUCUCUUAGCAUAUGUGUACAUGUAUUUGCAUGCAUCCCCAUCCCCUACUAUUCUGUUUGAUCUUUGAUGUGUAGGAACUCAAGUUCCUACAAGCUUAGAGGGGAACAAAAAGGGAAGCAAGCAGAAUAUAUCGUCCAAGGAUCGCUCGAGCCACCAGCAUCCCGCCAGGGCCAGUCAGCUCGCCCGAGCGAACAAGCAGCCCGCCUAAGCCAGUGAGCCCGCCUGAACAAACAAGCAGCCCGCCCGGGCUCAUGAGUGGCCAAACCUACUGCCUCCUCAUGGAACUUAAGGUGCACGCCCGGGCUUGAAGCUCGAGGCCACCUAACCUACACCGUCCGGGCCAUAUCUCUGCUCGCCCGGGCACCUUCUGACAUCCCUCCCGGGCCACUGGCCAUUGGGCCUUUUUUCGAAUUUCUUUUAUUUUACGACUUUUGUAAUUAGAGGGGGUAUAAGUACUCCUCUAUCCCAUUUUGGGAAAGGAUCCAGAUUUUUUAGAAUCCUAAUCUUGUUUACUAGUGUAGGAGAGAGAAAACUUGACUCAAGAGGUGUAAUUUGUAGAUUGAAAUCAAUGAAAAAGUGACAAU